GGGGGGGGGGGGGGGGGGGGGGGGGGGGGGGGGGGGGGGGGGGGGGGGGGGGGGGGGGGGGGGGGGGGGGGGGGGGGGGGGGGGGGGGGAACCAGGGCACGAACCAGGGCACGAACCAGGGCACGAACCAGGGCACGAACCAGGGCACGAACCAGGGCACGAACCAGGGCACGAACCAGGGCACGAACCAGGGCACGAACCAGGGCACGAACCAGGGCACGAACCAGGGCACGAACCAGGGCACGAACCAGGGCACGAACCAGGGCACGAACCAGGGCACGAACCAGGGCACGAACCAGGGCACGAACCAGGGCACGAACCAGGGCACGAACCAGGGCACGAACCAGGGCACGAACCAGGGCACGAACCAGGGCACGAACCAGGGCACGAACCAGGGCACGAACCAGGGCACGAACCAGGGCACGAACCAGGGCACGAACCAGGGCACGAACCAGGGCGCCGCUUCCUCCCUCCGCCUCGGGCCGCCCCUCAGUGCGCUGCUCCCUCCAUGCAGGGACAAGGGACCUCAGAGCACGGAUGGCACCACCCGUGCCAUGUCACCCCCGUGUUUGCUGGGGGUGACGGUGUUUUCUGUGGCCAGCUGACCACCGCAGCUCUCCCCUCGGGGUGUGAUGGCCUGGCCCUCUCCCUGCCGUGCACAGGCCUUGAGCAGCUGCAGCAUGGCCGCCCCGUGCCUGCUCCCACCGAGGGGCUGCCCUCCUCCUCCACAGGCAGCGCUGCCUCUCCAAACACACACAGCGGCUGGUGCUGUUUGUCUGCUCACUGGAGAAGUUUUGCAAUGGAGUGUGAAGAGAGGGAUACAACCGUCAGAUUCAAUACACUGCAAAGAAAGACCAGCAUCCCAGGAUGUGAGAGACCUGUAAGGGCACUGCAAGCAGAUCUCAGGAGACACCACUGGGAGCUGAGGAUUGCUCUCCUGGGCAGAAGUACUUUGGUGGCUGUUGCAGGAUGUAGUGACUAUUUGAAAUUCUUCUUGAGAAGCCUGGUCUUCACCAGGCUUCUGGUAUAUUCUUGA
RNAcentral lists this long non-coding RNA (1036 nucleotides) under Ficedula albicollis (Collared flycatcher). Its description in RNAcentral is "lncRNA (ENSFALG00000028983.1)". The record is from RNAcentral. Lineage: Eukaryota; Metazoa; Chordata; Aves; Passeriformes; Muscicapidae.